This 380-nucleotide ribosomal RNA is filed under the name uncultured eukaryote. RNAcentral describes it as "partial 18S ribosomal RNA". It matches the Rfam family "Eukaryotic small subunit ribosomal RNA", at positions 591 to 976 of the family's 1831-position model. The record is from RNAcentral.
CCAAUAGCGUAUAUUUAAGUUGUUGCAGUUAAAAAGCUCGUAGUUGGAUUUCGGAUGGGAUUUGCCGGUCCGUCGUUACGAUGUGCACUGGCCAGUCCUAUCUUGUUGUCGGGGACUAGCUCCUUGGAUUCACUUCCUGGGACUAGGAGCUGACGAGGUUACUUUGAGUAAAUUAGAGUGUUCAAAGCAAGCCUACGCUCUGAAUACAUUAGCAUGGAAUAACACGAUAGGACUCUGGCUUAUCUUGUUGGUCUGUGAGACCAGAGUAAUGAUUAAGAGGGACAGUCGGGGACAUUCGUAUUUCAUUGUCAGAGGUGAAAUUCUUGGAUUUAUGAAAGACGAACUUCUGCGAAAGCAUUUGUCAAGGAUGUUUUCAUUAA